GACGAACGCUGGCGGCGUGCUUAACACAUGCAAGUCGAACGGAAAGGCCCUGCUUGCAGGGUACUCGAGUGGCGAACGGGUGAGUAACACGUGGGUGAUCUGCCCUGCACUUCGGGAUAAGCCUGGGAAACUGGGUCUAAUACCGGAUAGGAGCCAUUUUUAGUGUGAUGGUUGGAAAGUUUUUUCGGUGUAGGAUGAGCUCGCGGCCUAUCAGCUUGUUGGUGGGGUAAUGGCCUACCAAGGCGGCGACGGGUAGCCGGCCUGGGAGGGUGGACGGCCACAAUGGGACUGAGAUACGGCCCAGACUCCUACGGGAGGCAGGAGUGGGGAAUAAUGCACAAUGGGCGCAAGCCUGAUGCAGCGACGCCGCGGGGGGGAUGACGGCCUUCGGGUUGUAAACGCGUUUCGCUAGGGACGAAGCUUUUUGUGACGGUACCUAGAGAAGAAGCACCGGCUAACUACGUG
Molecule: ribosomal RNA, 465 nt
Filed under: uncultured bacterium
Lineage: Bacteria
Description: partial 16S ribosomal RNA
Rfam family: Bacterial small subunit ribosomal RNA
Source: RNAcentral